GUGAUGCGAGAGAGGUUUUCCCAAAAUCUUGAAGAAACAAGAACUACUACUUGCCUUGCUCAUGUGUUCCUUAGCCUUAUAUGUCAGUGAGCCCUUGCGAUCACCCACCUAGCUGGUGAAACCCAGUGGGAGCAGGAGGAGGUGGAAGGUGAGCUGGACCGAAGUCAAAAGCAGGGGAUAAAGUAAAGGAUGACAGAGGGCACAGAAGCCACCAGCAGAUUCUUUGGAAGGAAGUAACAGGAGUGGAACUUCAUUUUCCCAUGGAUUGUAAAGGGCUGGGCUCCCUUCCACCUCUUCUCACUGGCCUCCUGUUUGUACCCCUGACCUCUCCGGGAUCUGGAUCCCAACACUGUCUUCUGCAAUGAAAACCCUGAUUUUCUAUAUCUGGACAAAAGACUAGGACAUAACGAGAAUUUUAGCGGAAGGAACUGAGGGAGAGAGAUUGCACAGCAGACAAGGACAAAUAAAGGGAAGGUGGAAACAAGGGU
Molecule: long non-coding RNA, 488 nt
Filed under: Homo sapiens (human)
Lineage: Eukaryota; Metazoa; Chordata; Mammalia; Primates; Hominidae
Description: HSALNT0145899
Source: RNAcentral